UCGGGCUUCGCCGAGCUCUUCUUUCCAGGGCCGGGGAGCCCUCGCUGUGGGCGGCAGGUGGCGAGGCCCUCCCCAGCUGCUACCGCAGCCUAGCCCUGCCCACGCGAGCCCACCCGAAUCCGUCAGCGCAGCGCUCCGCGCCUAAACCCGCACACCGGGUACCUGGCGCUGAGGUGGGGCGCACCGCCUUUCCACCGCCGCGUCAGGCAGGCCAGGUGCGCGCGCGUUCUGGGUGGGAGGAAGCUUUGUCAGUCCGCCACGGUGGAAAGUUGCUCGGCUCGCCGGACGGGAGUGUUCGGAUCAUCGCCGGACUCCCCUGCGAGUCCUACCCUGCGGCUGCAACGCUGCUCCUGAUAGAACAGGCGUUGGGCACCUUUCUAUCCUUUGACCGAACUGCCGCGUACUUUCGCGCCUUCUCUCUGGAAAUCUGGAGCGAGAUCUGACCGAGAGAUUAUGAAAGAGGAACUAGUGACUCGCGUGUUUCGGCGGUGUUGUCAGAGGGCACGAAAGGAUAACGUGGCCGGGGUCCGGCCAGCCCCUCUCUGCUUUGGGACCGGAGCUGUGCGGGAGGCUCGCUGGUCUUUUCCGUCGCCAGCAUUCGUGCUCGGAACCCACAGCUGCAAGCGAGGCCGCCCACCAUGCGGCUGAUGCUUCCUCAACUCUCUUCAGCGAGAUUUUGACAGGCGCGGGAGCCACACUGAAACCGAGACUCCUUUUACAACAUGUGGAACUUCAACAGCUAUUAGAAGAUCAGAUUUCUAACCUCAAUACCAGGUAUAUGUUUCUCCUCAAAAAAUGGUGGCCAUCAUGAAAUCCUUUAUAAAUUUGCUCUGAUGGUUUCCUAUUAAAACUGAUUCAAACAAAA
This is a long non-coding RNA of Crotalus tigris (Tiger rattlesnake), 865 nucleotides long. RefSeq lists it as uncharacterized. The record is from RefSeq and is a predicted model, not a curated record. The transcript is spliced from 2 exons. Lineage: Eukaryota; Metazoa; Chordata; Lepidosauria; Squamata; Viperidae.